Macrosteles quadrilineatus (aster leafhopper) is the source of this 2245-nucleotide long non-coding RNA. RefSeq lists it as uncharacterized. The record is from RefSeq and is a predicted model, not a curated record. Lineage: Eukaryota; Metazoa; Arthropoda; Insecta; Hemiptera; Cicadellidae. The transcript is spliced from 2 exons.
AAAGUUGGUAAGCUGUCCUUAACUUUACAAGUUAUAUGUGUUUUCUGACCAAUUCAGAAUACUAUCAAUCCCAGUGGAAGAAAUAAAAUUGUGUCCAAAUCAUGGCAGAGUCGGAAAAUUCUAAAACUACAUUGAAGAACAUCACGUCAUCUCUGCAAAAGAUUGUAGAAUGUUCAGUGUGUCUGGACACAAUCCAAAUUCCAUUUAAGACAUGCAGCAGAGGCCAUGGGGUUUGUAACUGCUGCUGCGAAAAGUUAAAGAAUUGCCCGACUUGCGAAGGUCCAUUUACACACCGUGUGUUUAGAUCCUGUAAGUUUAAACAACUUUCUGGAAGCCCUUCCUCGUCAGUGUAAGUACCAUGAAGAUGGUUGUGAAGACAUUCUGAAGCCCGGGAGUGACCAUGAAGACUUUUGUGGCUUCAGACCUGCAGAGUGUAGGCAAAGCGAUUGCAACACUGUGACUCCUUUGAUAAAACUGAUGGAUCACUAUGAGAAAGAACAUUGUAAUAAAAUUUUUAAGUACGGAUCAAAGUCAUCUAUGUUGUUUACUUUGAAAAACUUUAAUCCUAAAAAUUACCAUAUAGAACAUCUUCUCAUCUUUAAGUUUGACAAGGUAUUCUGGAUUACCCUAACUAAUAAUUUAAACCAGGAACAUUUUAAAUUUACUUUUGAAGCAACUCCAAUUGGCAAGUUGGAAAAUGAAUAUAUUUUAAGAGUUAAGAUUGAAAAAAAAAUGAGUAUUUAUAUGUUUCUACAUUAAAGGCUUCUGUUGUAGAGUGUUGUGAAAAGGGUUGGAAAAGUAACACAGAUGAUGAAAAUCAUUGCAUGAAGAUUCCACAAUGUGCCUUAUAUAAGGUUAUGCAUGAAGGAAAUUUUAACUAUGAGUUAACAUUUUUUGAAUGCAAGGAGUAAAAUCUUCUGAGGUACAUUUCAUUAAAUCUGACAUAAAACUUGUUCAAAUUUUGUUUCAAUGUUUAAGCUUUGUGUGUAUGGAGUUUGACAUUCCAGUUUUUCCUCACUCAGCCGGGUAGAAUACCAGCCUCAUCAAUCAGGAUAAAACUUGAACAAUCUGUUAUGUUAUGUAUUUGAUUAGAUUCUUAAGGAUGUGGUUAAAAUGUUAACCUUCUCUGUGAACAGGUAAUAGGUAAGCUGUAAUUGUUGAGUAUCUAAUAGUACCUUGCGAUAAUUAGUGAAUAAAAAAAUGGCGUAACCUCAACUUUCAAAGUUAAAGGUAACUUAUGACGCAAAACUGUUGUUCCUGUAUUGUAUGGUAAAAAGCUACACCAUUUUGAAUCUUCAGAUUUUUGCGGGGAGGGAGGAUUAAAGCUGAAAAAUUUUUAGUUUUAGAUUUUUUUUAAAUUGAUAACUUUUUGGUUUAAUGCAAAACAUGUCAUUUACAAAAAUAAUCUACAACACAUUUUUGUUAUCAAGACAUUUCAUAAAACUCCAAAACUACAGAUUUUAACAUUUUAACCCCCUCUCCCUCCCAAACCGGACCCUGAUAAUUGUGUAACUUUUAAAAUAUGUUAACCAUAAAAUACGGGGACUCUUGAACAGUUUGGGGUCAAAAUUUUGCUUUUCACUUCAGAUUUUGAGGUUUAGGUCUUAUUGCGCCGGGAUCCGUUCAAAAAUUUUGGGGUUUCCUUAGUUCCCCACCAAUUUUUAAUUUCUUUUGUAAUGUAUAUUACAGCUGUCGGCUGUUGCUACAAAGUUGGGGUAUUAUGGAGGGGAUCAAAUUGCUUCCCCUCAAAAUGAUUAAUUUUUUAGAACGGAGUAUAAUAUCUGGUACUAUGAUAUUUUUCAGUGCCUUAACUAAAUGAUUUUGUAGUUGUGAAGAGUAACAUGAUAGUGUUAUAUGAUGGAGGAAAUUGGACAAUACUUCAAGAGAUUUGUUAUAAGUGUGUAAUAUAAAAUGUCAAAUUUCUAGAGCUCUUGAUAUGAGAAAUGUGGGGAUUAUUGAAAAUCUGUAAUGUACAUAUAAAUAGGGAUGAGCUAAACGAUAAAUGACGUUAUCAUUUUUAAAGUGUGAAAUAUGAGAAUUGAGAAUAUAGUUUCCACAUACGUUGUUAACUACAUGAUUUUGUAUUUUGCUACAUAAUGACGCAAUGAUUGAUAACAUGAUAUAUUGUUGUUCUAAUUCAUACUUACUUUUAAGAUCUUGUGCUAGUUAUAUAUUUUAAGUUUUUUUGAUAAAUUUAUCUGAUCUCAAAAAUGUGGGUCUCAAUUAAACUUUUCUUUAUCGUGCA